GUGAGUCAUCGAAUCUUUGAACGCAAGUUGCGCCCGAUGCCAUUAGGUUGAGGGCACGUCUGCCUGGGUGUCACAUAUCGAAGCCUCCUGCCAAUUUCCUUUUGACGGGUAUUGUGCAGGGUGGAUGUUGGCCUCCCGUGAGCUCUCUUUCGUCUCAUGGUUGGUUGAAAAUUGAGACCUUGGUAGGGUGUGCCAUGAUAAAUGGUGGUUGUGUGACCCACGAGACCAAUCAUGUGUUGCUCUAUUGAAUUUGGGCUCUUUUACCCAUUUGCGUUUCUAAACGCUCGUGAUGAGACCUCAGGUCAGGCGGGGCUACCCGCUGAAUUUAA
This 329-nucleotide ribosomal RNA is filed under the name uncultured fungus. RNAcentral's name for it is "eukaryotic LSU rRNA". The stretch from base 1 to 73 matches the Rfam family "5.8S ribosomal RNA", at positions 84 to 154 of the family's 154-position model. Lineage: Eukaryota; Fungi. The record is from RNAcentral.